UCACACCAUGGACAUGAGGGCCCCCUCUCAACUCCUGGGGCUUCUACUGCUGUGGUUUUCAGGUGUGAGAUGUGACAUCCUAAUGACUCAGUCUCCAUCCUUACUGUCUGUAUCUCUGGGAGACAGAGUCACCAUCAACUGCAAGGCCAGUGAGAACAUUAAUAGUUGGUUAGCUUGGUAUCAGCAGAAACCAGGGGAAGCUCCUAAACUCCUGAUCUACCUGGCAUCCAAACUGAAAACUGGGAUCCCAUCAAGGUUCAGUGGCAGUGGAUCUGGUACAGAUUUCACUCUCACCAUCAGCAGCGUGGAACCUGAAGACAUUGCCACUUACUACUGUCACCAGUAUACUAGUACCCUUCCCACAGUGAUUCAAGUCAUAGCACAAACCUCACAGGGAAACAGAUGUGUGUGGCUUCGCUGCCCAGCUGCUCCUGUUGGUAUGUGCAACUGUACCCUAUCCAGGUGA
Nannospalax galili (Upper Galilee mountains blind mole rat) is the source of this 466-nucleotide non-coding RNA. The record is from the annotation of a RefSeq genome assembly. NCBI's taxonomy places the organism in Eukaryota, Metazoa, Chordata, Mammalia, Rodentia, Spalacidae.